UACGUAGGGUGCAAGCGUUAAUCGGAAUUACUGGGCGUAAAGCGUGCGCAGGCGGUUAUGUAAGACAGGUGUGAAAUCCCCGGGCUUAACCUGGGAACUGCAUUUGUGACUGCAUAGCUAGAGUACGGUAGGGGGGGAUGGAAUUCCGCGUGUAGCAGUGAAAUGCGUAGAUAUGCGGAGGAACACCGAUGGCGAAGGCAAUCCCCUGGACCUGUACUGACGCUCAUGCACGAAAGCGUGGGGAGCGAACAGG
RNAcentral lists this ribosomal RNA (253 nucleotides) under uncultured bacterium. RNAcentral's name for it is "partial 16S ribosomal RNA". It matches the Rfam family "Bacterial small subunit ribosomal RNA", at positions 524 to 776 of the family's 1533-position model. The record is from RNAcentral.